CCUGAGAGAAGCACACUUCCUGGUGGUUCUCCAUCUUUAUUAAAGUAGGUACUACAUCAACUGUCCCGCUGUGAAGACCGGUGCACCUGGUGGGUGAAUCACACUUCAUCACUUCGAUGGUAGAGUUACAGAAAUGUAUAAAAUCAGAGCUACCACGCAAUCACAACCAUGGUUAUACAGUUACACGUGGUAAUACUUCGCUAUUAUCGAAG
RNAcentral lists this long non-coding RNA (212 nucleotides) under Physcomitrium patens. RNAcentral describes it as "long non-coding RNA (PPAT_LNC002796)". The record is from RNAcentral. Lineage: Eukaryota; Viridiplantae; Streptophyta; Bryopsida; Funariales; Funariaceae.